GGCCAUGUGGUGAAGUGGUUAACACGGCGGUCUGCAAAACGGCUAUGCGCCGGUUCAACUCCGGCCAUGGCCUCCA
This 76-nucleotide transfer RNA is filed under the name Candidatus Uhrbacteria bacterium. RNAcentral describes it as "tRNA-Cys". It matches the Rfam family "tRNA". Rfam says of the family: Transfer RNA (tRNA) molecules are approximately 80 nucleotides in length. Their secondary structure includes four short double-helical elements and three loops (D, anti-codon, and T loops). The record is from RNAcentral. Lineage: Bacteria; Candidatus Uhriibacteriota.